UAGAACGGAUGAGGCGCAUCAAUCAUUAGUACUUAUAUACUUAACUUCUGCAAAGUGUAUAUAACGAAAGGGUGAGAUGCCGAAAUGGCCGGUGGUCAGCAGACACCGGCUUUUGGAUCCAGUGGUUAAGAGCUGUGGAUUUGUCAUUAUUUGAAAGAAUAAUGGAGGGCAUCGCUUGUA
Molecule: non-coding RNA, 180 nt
Filed under: Jeotgalicoccus saudimassiliensis
Lineage: Bacteria; Bacillati; Bacillota; Bacilli; Caryophanales; Staphylococcaceae
Also listed under: 1 other name
Description: Lysine riboswitch aptamer
Rfam family: Lysine riboswitch aptamer
About the family: Riboswitches are metabolite binding domains within certain messenger RNAs that serve as precision sensors for their corresponding targets.
Source: Rfam by way of RNAcentral